AAUUUAUUUUUUUUUCGUACCAGUUUUGUAAAUAUGUAAAUAAUUCUAAUUAGUUUUAAGUCUAAAGUGUGAAUUUAGUUUUAAGUUUAACAACAAAAAAAAACAGUUCCUCGGAGUCGAGCAGAGCAUACAGAUGAAGGAACAACAAUUAGGGGCAGUACAGCAGCACACACACCUCAGGAACAGUACGCCAUUAUUCAGCCACAACCAACCAGCAAUUCAGCCCAACCAGCCCCAACAAAUCAGCGAUCAACACAAUGGAACAUAAAACAACCAGAGAACAAACUACACAUAAGAAGCAUUCAAGCAGUGAAACUAAUGAUAACCGAUGACGACUUGGAAACGACUUGGAUUUGAAGUGUGGAGUAGGCCUACUGGGGAUACCACGUAAAAAAAAAACGCGCCCAGAUCUUUACCAAAUGUUGGUGGUGUGGAAAAGAGUUCAUUAAACUGUCCAAAUAUAAACGUAUAGUACGAAUAAAUAAAGAAUGACCAAUUCA
Molecule: small RNA, 500 nt
Filed under: Drosophila pseudoobscura pseudoobscura
Lineage: Eukaryota; Metazoa; Arthropoda; Insecta; Diptera; Drosophilidae
Description: GA30584
Source: RNAcentral